RNAcentral lists this ribosomal RNA (502 nucleotides) under uncultured bacterium. RNAcentral's name for it is "partial 16S ribosomal RNA". It matches the Rfam family "Bacterial small subunit ribosomal RNA", at positions 28 to 507 of the family's 1533-position model. The record is from RNAcentral.
GACGAACGCUGGCGGCGUGCUUAACACAUGCAAGUCGAACGGUGAAGGGGUCUGCUUUUGUGGGCCCUGGAUGAGUGGCGAACGGGUGGGUAACACGUGAGUAACCUGCCCCCUUCUUCUGGAUAACCGCAUGAAAGUGUGGCUAAUACGGGAUAUUCUGGGUCUGUCGCAUGGUGGGUCUGGGAAAGAUUGCGCCUUUGGGUGUUUUUGGUGGGGGAUGGGCUCGCGGCCUAUCAGCUUGUUGGUGGGGUGAUGGCCUACCAAGGCGGUGACGGGUAGCCGGCCUGAGAGGGUGGACGGUCACGCUGGGACUGAGACACGGCCCAGACUCCUACGGGAGGCAGCAGUGGGGAAUAUUGCACAAUGGGCGCAAGCCUGAUGCAGCGACGCCGCGUGAGGGAUGGAGGCCUUCGGGUUGUAAACCUCUUUCGCCAGUGAAGCAGGCCUGCUCCUUGUGGGUGGGUUGACGGUAGCUGGAUAAGAAGCGCCGGCUAACUACGUG